AGAGGGAUAGCUGGGUCAAAUGUUGGUUUCAUUAUUAGAUUUCCAAGGAAUCUCCAUAUUGGCUGUACCAACUUGCAGUCCCACCAGCAAU
RNAcentral lists this microRNA precursor (91 nucleotides) under Marmota monax (woodchuck). Lineage: Eukaryota; Metazoa; Chordata; Mammalia; Rodentia; Sciuridae. The record is from RNAcentral.